UAGUCCACGCCGUAAACGAUGUGUGCUAGACGUCGGGGCUUUUCAGCUUCGGUGUCGCAGAUAACUCAUUAAGCACACCGCCUGGGGAGUACGGUCGCAAGAUUAAACUCAAAGGAAUUGACGGGGGCCCGCACAAGCGGUGGAGCAUGUGGUUUAAUUCGAGGCAACGCGAAGAACCUUACCACCCCUUGACAUUACUCGUCGCGGAAGAUAGAGAUAUUUUCCUUCAGUUCGGCUGGACGAUGUACAGGUGCUGCAUGGCUGUCGUCAGCUCGUGUCGUGAGAUGUUGGGUUAAGUCCCGCAACGAGCGCAACCCUUAUCCUUAGUUGCCAGCAUUCAGUUGGGCACUCUAAAGNGACUGCCGGUGAUAAGCCGAGGAAGGCGGGAUGACGUCAAGUCCUCAUGGCCCUUAUCGGGUGGGCUACACACGUGCUACAAUGGCGGUGACAGUGGGAUGCGAUGGCGCGAGCCUGAGCUAAUCUCAAAACCGU
This 492-nucleotide ribosomal RNA is filed under the name uncultured bacterium. Its description in RNAcentral is "bacterial SSU rRNA". It matches the Rfam family "Bacterial small subunit ribosomal RNA", at positions 791 to 1283 of the family's 1533-position model. The record is from RNAcentral.